UUUAAGAUAAGCUAUUUUUUAAGCUUUUGGGCUCAUAACUCAAAUAAGAUUUUUCUCUUAAAA
This 63-nucleotide transfer RNA is filed under the name Biomphalaria pfeifferi. RNAcentral's name for it is "tRNA-Met". Lineage: Eukaryota; Metazoa; Mollusca; Gastropoda; Planorbidae. The record is from RNAcentral. RNAcentral also lists the same sequence under 1 other name.